GCUGGGCGGCUGCGGCGCGCGGUGCGUAGUCUGGAGCUAUGGUGGUGGUGGCGGCAGCCGCGCCGAACCCGGCCGACGGGACCCCUAAAGUUCUGCUUCUGUCGGGGCAGCCCGCCUCCGCCGCCGGAGCCCCGGCCGGCCAGGCCCUGCCGCUCAUGGUGCCAGCCCAGAGAGGGGCCAGCCCGGAGGCAGCGAGCGGGGGGCUGCCCCAGGCGCGCAAGCGACAGCGCCUCACGCACCUGAGCCCCGAGGAGAAGGCGCUGAGGAGGAAACUGAAAAACAGAGUAGCAGCUCAGACUGCCAGAGAUCGAAAGAAGGCUCGAAUGAGUGAGCUGGAACAGCAAGUGGUAGAUUUAGAAGAAGAGGUAAAACUACUUAAGGUCAAACUCUUUUAUCCAUUGUAUACCCUUCCUUGGUGAAUGUUCUGAUAUUUGCUUCCCAUCCCAAGUUGUUUCAGCCCCUAUUAGAAUACAAUUGAAUAUGUGAUUAAAAGUUAAACUAGGCUGGGCAUGGUGG
Molecule: small RNA, 516 nt
Filed under: Pan troglodytes (chimpanzee)
Lineage: Eukaryota; Metazoa; Chordata; Mammalia; Primates; Hominidae
Description: retained intron
Source: RNAcentral